Molecule: ribosomal RNA, 562 nt
Filed under: uncultured bacterium
Lineage: Bacteria
Description: partial 16S ribosomal RNA
Rfam family: Bacterial small subunit ribosomal RNA
Source: RNAcentral
UGGGGAAUAUUGCACAAUGGGCGAAAGCCUGAUGCAGCAACGCCGCGUGCGGGAUGACGGCCUUCGGGUUGUAAACCGCUUUCAGCAGGGACGAAGGUUUUCUGACGGUACCUGCAGAAGAAGCACCGGCUAACUACGUGCCAGCAGCCGCGGUGAUACGUAGGGUGCGAGCGUUGUCCGGAAUUAUUGGGCGUAAAGAGCUUGUAGGCGGUCCGUUGCGUCGGAAGUGAAAACUCAGGGCUUAACCCUGAGCCUGCUUUCGAUACGGGCGGACUUGAGGGAUGUAGGGGAGAACGGAAUUCCUGGUGGAGCGGUGGAAUGCGCAGAUAUCAGGAGGAACACCAGUGGCGAAGGCGGUUCUCUGGACAUUUCCUGACGCUGAGAAGCGAAAGCGUGGGGAGCAAACAGGCUUAGAUACCCUGGUAGUCCACGCCGUAAACGGUGGCACUAGGUGUGGGACCCAUUCCACGGGUUCCGUGCCGUAGCUAACGCAUUAAGUGCCCCGCCUGGGGAGUACGGCCGCAAGGCUAAAACCUUAAAUGAAUUGACGGGGUCAUAGCUG